RNAcentral lists this ribosomal RNA (338 nucleotides) under uncultured bacterium. Its description in RNAcentral is "bacterial SSU rRNA". It matches the Rfam family "Bacterial small subunit ribosomal RNA", at positions 917 to 1264 of the family's 1533-position model. The record is from RNAcentral.
GGACCCGCACAAGCGGUGGAGUAUGUGGUUUAAUUCGAUGCAACGCGAAGAACCUUACCAGGGUUUGAAAUCAUUUCAAAACUCCUUGAAAGAGGAGCCUCCUUCGGGAUGAAAUGACAGGUGGUGCAUGGCUGUCGUCAGCUCGUGUUGUGAAAUGUCGAGUUAAGUCUCGUAACGAGCGCAACCCAUGUCUCUUGUUGCUCACUGAGUGCUUAAGAGAGACUGCCGACCAACAUCGGAGGAAGGUGUGGAUGAUGUCAAGUCAGCAUGCCCCUUACAUCCUGGGCUACACACGUACUACAAUGGUAGGGACAAUGAGCUGCGAUCCAUGCGAAGGC